Molecule: long non-coding RNA, 1189 nt
Filed under: Panax ginseng (ginseng)
Lineage: Eukaryota; Viridiplantae; Streptophyta; Magnoliopsida; Apiales; Araliaceae
Description: long non-coding RNA (PGIN_LNC009795)
Source: RNAcentral
UAGGAAGUCCAUAAUACAGAAACAUCAAAAAAGGUAUACUGCGUUUUUUAGGAAAGAGAAUAUGGAAAUUUUUACAGUAUUUUGUAUAUGAUGAUUCCUUAUUAUACUAUACUCCUAAAAAUGAUUUAUUCAAAUCUGAAGUAACUAAAUCAUUUUGUGACUAUAAACUUGAAACAUUAAAUACCUACUACAACAUAAUAAUAACUGUUAAGCAUGUGUCAAUAUUGAAUGUAGAAAGAAGGGACACAAAAGGACAGCAGCAUGUCGCAAGGCUCCUCUCUCUGCAAACCUAUAAAGACAUCUAAGGGCUUACUGUAUUGUAGUAUUCUAGUCAAUAUUGAACUACAAUUCCGCUGAGAUCUUCCAUAUGAUUUAUCUAUCGGUCUUGAAAACAAUUCACCAACUCCUCAGUGUUAUAUUUCAUAAAAACCACCAACCCAUAGAGACAAUUUAAGUAACUUAUUGAAUAUUGAAUUUAUCCUAGUCUAUAAUACAGAAAGCCUGCAUCCAAUCUUCUAUAAACCCUCUGGAUGGAACAUACUGAGAAUUAAGUAACAAGCAACCAACCCCUAUAUAUAAAAGCAUGUAGAUUGAGUCAACCCUUGAUUAAUUACUACUUCUACGGCAUCAAUUUGCAAUUCCCCUUUCCUUGCCUUGUGAGUAUCUCUCUCUAUAAACACUCUGGUUUCUUAUAUGCCUUGAUAAAUGUGUGUAGAAUUUGGAGCAAAGUUUAAAGGACAAAAAGUAACACAUUCUAGACUACUACUUUGUUUAUAGUUUUAGCUAACAUUAUGGAGUAGUAUUCUUCAAAAUUUACUAGUAUAAAGCUUAGUGAUCGAUCGAUCAUAUAGUUUAUGAAAAGCUUCAAACAAAUAAUGUGAUCCUUUAUGGGUUGUUUAGCAAUUCAAUUUUGCAGUUACUAAUUUUUAAUUAUUAUCUAGAAAAUUGUGUGCUUUGCUUCUGAAAAAGGUUGAAGAAUUUUAUUGAGCACAACUUGUUGUAUUCUUGUGAGUAUUUUCAGUUGAAUUUUCAUGCAAUGGAGCAGGGCAAGUACUCGUUUACAAAUUUAAGGUUGAUGGAAUGGACUUACCAAUCGAUGCAGUAAUACCUGAAUAUCUAUCUCCUCUUUCUUUCUUUUCAUAUUUUAUGUUUGCUUAUUGAUACGAUACUCCUAAUUAUUAUGUUUUCA